Podarcis lilfordi (Lilford's wall lizard) is the source of this 80-nucleotide non-coding RNA. The record is from the annotation of a GenBank genome assembly. Lineage: Eukaryota; Metazoa; Chordata; Lepidosauria; Squamata; Lacertidae.
GCCAUAGCUCAGUGGGAGAGCAUCUGCUGUGCAUGCAGAAGGUCCCAGGUUCAAUGCUCAGCAUCUUCCAGUUAGGUCCU